UACGUAGGUCCCGAGCGUUGUCCGGAUUUAUUGGGCGUAAAGCGAGCGCAGGUGGUUUAAUAAGUCUGAUGUAAAAGGCAGUGGCUCAACCAUUGUGUGCAUUGGAAACUGUUAGACUUGAGUGCAGUAGAGGAGAGUGGAAUUCCAUGUGUAGCGGUGAAAUGCGUAGAUAUAUGGAGGAACACCGGUGGCGAAAGCGGCUCUCUGGACUGUAACUGACACUGAGGCGCGAAAGCGUGGGUAGCAAACAGG
This 252-nucleotide ribosomal RNA is filed under the name uncultured microorganism. Its description in RNAcentral is "partial 16S ribosomal RNA". It matches the Rfam family "Bacterial small subunit ribosomal RNA", at positions 524 to 776 of the family's 1533-position model. The record is from RNAcentral.